RNAcentral lists this ribosomal RNA (497 nucleotides) under uncultured bacterium. RNAcentral describes it as "partial 16S ribosomal RNA". It matches the Rfam family "Bacterial small subunit ribosomal RNA", at positions 28 to 507 of the family's 1533-position model. The record is from RNAcentral.
GAUGAACGCUGGCGGCGUGCCUAAUACAUGCGAGUCGAGCGAACAGACGAGGAGCUUGCUCCUCUGACGUUAGCGGCGGACGGGUGAGUAACACGUGGAUAACCUACCUAUAAGACUGGGAUAACUUCGGGAAACCGGAGCUAAUACCGGAUAACAUGUUGAACCGCAUGGUUCAACAGUGAAAGACGGUCUUGCUGUCACUUAUAGAUGGAUCCGCGCCGCAUUAGCUAGUUGGUAAGGUAACGGCUUACCAAGGCAACGAUGCGUAGCCGACCUGAGAGGGUGAUCGGCCACACUGGAACUGAGACACGGUCCAGACUCCUACGGGAGGCAGCAGUAGGGAAUCUUCCGCAAUGGGCGAAAGCCUGACGGAGCAACGCCGCGUGAGUGAAGAAGGUCUUCGGAUCGUAAAACUCUGUUAUUAGGGAAGAACAAAUGUGUAAGUAACUAUGCACGUCUUGACGGUACCUAAUCAGAAAGCCACGGCUAACUACGUG